Molecule: ribosomal RNA, 497 nt
Filed under: uncultured bacterium
Lineage: Bacteria
Description: partial 16S ribosomal RNA
Rfam family: Bacterial small subunit ribosomal RNA
Source: RNAcentral
ACGAACGCUGGCGGCGUGCCUAAUACAUGCAAGUCGAGCGGACGGAUGGGAGCUUGCUCCCAGACCGUCAGCGGCGGACGGGUGGGUAACACGUGGGCAACCUGCCUGUAAGACUGGGAUAACUCCGGGAAACCGGGGCUAAUACCGGAUAACUCUUUCCCUCACAUGAGGGAAAGCUGAAAGAUGGCAUCUCGCUAUCACUUACAGAUGGGCCCGCGGCGCAUUAGCUAGUUGGUGAGGUAACGGCUCACCAAGGCGACGAUGCGUAGCCGACCUGAGAGGGUGAUAGGCCACACUGGGACUGAGACACGGCCCAGACUCCUACGGGAGGCAGCAGUAGGGAAUCUUCCGCAAAGGACGAAAGUCUGACGGAGCAACGCCGCGUGAGUGAUGAAGGUUUUCGGAUCGUAAAACUCUGUUGUCAGGGAAGAACAAGUACCGGAGUAACUGCCGGUACCUUGACGGUACCUGACCAGAAAGCCACGGCUAACUACGUG